UAAUCAUCAAUGACUUUAAACAUCUUAUUUUUAAAUAAUUGUAGAAGUUGUGGGAAAUAAUGCAGAGACAUCCCAUGUACCAUUAUCUAGUUCCCCUUGUGUUAAUAUAUUGCAAAACUGUAGUUCACACAACCAAGAUAUACUGACAUUGAUACUGUCAAGAUACAGAACAUUUCUUAUCACCGCAAACCUCAGAGGAUUUGGUCUAGAAUGGGGGUAAAGAAUUACAGGAAAUCACUGAGUUUUUGUAUGUUGCUGCUGUCUGUUAUUUGUCCCACAUAUUUAUCCAGAAGGAAGGGGUGAGGAUGGGGGUCCCAUAAAGAUGCAGAGUAAGUUGAAGAAGACAAUGCUUGUCCUGCCACCAGAUGUCUCUUGUUUUUAUUUUUGUUUUUGUUUUGUUAUGUGUAAAAACAAAUGAACCCUUGGGAUAUUAGGAUAUUUUGGAGCAAGGUGUUGUCACUGUUUCUCAGACUUGGG
This 477-nucleotide long non-coding RNA is filed under the name Pan troglodytes (chimpanzee). Its description in RNAcentral is "long non-coding RNA NONPTRT014770". Lineage: Eukaryota; Metazoa; Chordata; Mammalia; Primates; Hominidae. The record is from RNAcentral.